UCUCUUCUUGCUACUUGCUCUCUGUUAAAGGCUAGCCGGCUGAAAGCCUAGCCUAGUUAUAGAAUUUCUCUUUACUUUUGUCAUUCAAGUUCAAUUGGUAGGUUCUAAUCUCAAUUACUAAUCUUUCAACUAUUUGUUUACUUUCACCGUGUCUUUGCCUGAUAUACUUGCAGUCUAAUGUAAUCCCUUUCCCUUUCCCCUUGUUUGUUUCUUUCAGUACUCUACUUGAGUUCUAGCAUGUUUAAACUCCCUCUCCCUUUCCCUGGGCUGUCAUGUUUCAGUUUAAAGUCCUAACAUACUUAAUUCCCCUCCCUUUAUCCCCUUGUCUGAUUAUUUUAUCUCAUAUGAGUUUUUAGUUUCCCUUUACCUGGGCUGUCAUGUUUCAGUUUAAAGUCCUAACAUGCUUAAUCUCCUUCCCUUUAUCUUAUCUCAUAUGAGUUUUUAGUACAUUUAAAUCCCUAUCCCUUGUCCCCUUGUUUAUGCUGUAGAUUUCAGUUAUGUUAAACCCCCUUUCCCUUUAUCCCUCACCUGUUUGUGUUCUUUCACCGUGUCUUUAUCUGAUAUACUUGCAGUUUAAUUUCAUCAUGUAAUUCCUUUCCCUUUCCCCUUGUUUGUUUCUUUCAGUACUCUACUUGAGAUUUCAGUUAUGUUAAACACCUUUUCCCUUUAUCCCUCACCUGUUUGUGUUAAAUUUCAGCAUGUUAGUCCUUUUCACUUUCCCUUUUGUUGUUUUCAGUAUUUCAGUAUGUUAAAUUCCUUUUUGCUGCUUGUGCGUUGUCCAUCACUGUGUUUUAUUUCAACUUAAUUUUGUCUGUUAAAAUCUUAUGUGAUUUCCCCUUCCCCUUUACCCAUGUUUGCUUAUGAGUUUGUUUUGGAUGAGAAUGGCAUCUCAUUGCCACUUCUAAUCUAUAACCAAGGGUUAAUUGACUAUACUCAGAAUGAUCCCAUUCCCUUUUCCCCUCGUAUGUGCUUGAGCCUGGACAAAGGCCUGUUGGUGUCUUAAUCACCUUCCAGGCCUUUGUCUGACUUGUUUACGAGUCUGCUCCUGUUUAUAACCUUUGUAAGGAGUCUGGGGUGUGCCAGUCUCAAUCAUUAGGCUGUGUAUGACCACUUCAUACACUGGUUCCCUUUAAUCCCCACUUUGCACUUAUUCUUAGCCCCUUUAAGUUCCUACCCUCCUUUGGUAAGUCAUGCUUAGGGACCUUGGAGUCUCCUCUGAACUUGGAUUCCUUAGGGCUGGUAAUUCCACACUUGCACUAUUCCAACUAGGGUG
RNAcentral lists this long non-coding RNA (1273 nucleotides) under Nicotiana benthamiana. RNAcentral describes it as "long non-coding RNA (NBEN_LNC037052)". The record is from RNAcentral. Lineage: Eukaryota; Viridiplantae; Streptophyta; Magnoliopsida; Solanales; Solanaceae.